This 20-nucleotide non-coding RNA is filed under the name Rattus norvegicus (Norway rat). The record is from RNAcentral. Lineage: Eukaryota; Metazoa; Chordata; Mammalia; Rodentia; Muridae.
CAGAAGCUGUAUACAGACAG